UACGUAGGUGGCAAGCGUUGUCCGGAUUUACUGGGCGUAAAGAGCGCGCAGGCGGUCGUUCAAGUCGCGUGUGAAAGCCCCCGGCUCAACUGGGGAGGGUCACGCGAUACUGAUCGACUCGAAGGCAGGAGAGGGAAGUGGAAUUCCCGGUGUAGUGGUGAAGUGCGUAGAUAUCGGGAGGAACACCAGUGGCGAAGGCGACUUCCUGGCCUGUUCUUGACGCUGAGGCGCGAAAGCUAGGGGAGCAAACGGG
Molecule: ribosomal RNA, 253 nt
Filed under: uncultured bacterium
Lineage: Bacteria
Description: partial 16S ribosomal RNA
Rfam family: Bacterial small subunit ribosomal RNA
Source: RNAcentral